GUGCUGUGACAAAUAAAAUUAGAACGAUACAGAGUAGAUGAGCGUGAUCCCUGUGCAAGGGUGACGUGCAGAUUUGUGACGCAGUCUGUAUUUCU
RNAcentral lists this small nuclear RNA (95 nucleotides) under Ovis aries (sheep). The record is from RNAcentral. Lineage: Eukaryota; Metazoa; Chordata; Mammalia; Artiodactyla; Bovidae.